GCAGUGAUGGUUCAGUGGUAGAAUUUUAGCUUCCUGUGUGGGAGACCUGGGUUCGAUUCCCAGGCAGCGCA
RNAcentral lists this transfer RNA (71 nucleotides) under Loxodonta africana (African savanna elephant). It matches the Rfam family "tRNA". From Rfam's summary of the family: Transfer RNA (tRNA) molecules are approximately 80 nucleotides in length. Their secondary structure includes four short double-helical elements and three loops (D, anti-codon, and T loops). Further hydrogen bonds mediate the characteristic L-shaped molecular structure. tRNAs have two regions of fundamental functional importance: the anti-codon, which is responsible for specific mRNA codon recognition, and the 3' end, to which the tRNAs corresponding amino acid is attached (by aminoacyl-tRNA synthetases). tRNAs cope with the degeneracy of the genetic code in two manners: having more than one tRNA (with a specific anti-codon) for a particular amino acid; and 'wobble' base-pairing, i.e. permitting non-standard base-pairing at the 3rd anti-codon position. The record is from Rfam by way of RNAcentral. Lineage: Eukaryota; Metazoa; Chordata; Mammalia; Proboscidea; Elephantidae.